This 596-nucleotide ribosomal RNA is filed under the name Diaporthe eres. Its description in RNAcentral is "eukaryotic LSU rRNA". The stretch from base 235 to 388 matches the Rfam family "5.8S ribosomal RNA". Lineage: Eukaryota; Fungi; Ascomycota; Sordariomycetes; Diaporthales; Diaporthaceae. The record is from RNAcentral.
AGAGGAAGUAAAAGUCGUAACAAGGUCUCCGUUGGUGAACCAGCGGAGGGAUCAUUGCUGGAACGCGCCCCAGGCGCACCCAGAAACCCUUUGUGAACUUAUACCUUACUGUUGCCUCGGCGCUAGCUGGUCCUUCGGGGCCCCUCACCCCCGGGUGUUGAGACAGCCCGCCGGCGGCCAACCCAACUCUUGUUUUUACACUGAAACUCUGAGAAUAAAACAUAAAUGAAUCAAAACUUUCAACAACGGAUCUCUUGGUUCUGGCAUCGAUGAAGAACGCAGCGAAAUGCGAUAAGUAAUGUGAAUUGCAGAAUUCAGUGAAUCAUCGAAUCUUUGAACGCACAUUGCGCCCUCUGGUAUUCCGGAGGGCAUGCCUGUUCGAGCGUCAUUUCAACCCUCAAGCCUGGCUUGGUGAUGGGGCACUGCUUCUUACCCAAGGAGCAGGCCCUGAAAUUCAGUGGCGAGCUCGCCAGGACCCCGAGCGCAGUAGUUAAACCCUCGCUCUGGAAGGCCCUGGCGGUGCCCUGCCGUUAAACCCCCAACUUCUGAAAAUUUGACCUCGGAUCAGGUAGGAAUACCCGCUGAACUUAAGCAUA